RNAcentral lists this ribosomal RNA (238 nucleotides) under uncultured bacterium. RNAcentral describes it as "partial 16S ribosomal RNA". It matches the Rfam family "Bacterial small subunit ribosomal RNA", at positions 96 to 334 of the family's 1533-position model. The record is from RNAcentral.
CGGCGGACGGGUGAGUAACGCGUGGGUAACCUACCCUGUACACACGGAUAACAUACCGAAAGGUAUGCUAAUACGGGAUAAUAUAUUUGAGAGGCAUCUCUUGAAUAUCAAAGGUGAGCCAGUACAGGAUGGACCCGCGUCUGAUUAGCUAGUUGGUAAGGUAACGGCUUACCAAGGCGACGAUCAGUAGCCGACCUGAGAGGGUGAUCGGCCACAUUGAAACUGAGACACGGUCCAA